RNAcentral lists this long non-coding RNA (1215 nucleotides) under Mytilus galloprovincialis (Mediterranean mussel). The record is from RNAcentral. Lineage: Eukaryota; Metazoa; Mollusca; Bivalvia; Mytilida; Mytilidae.
UAAAUUUGAUUGAAGGUGAUCCAUUAUUGACUAUUAGUUGUCAAGUAUGCAAUAAAUAAAGAGAAAUAUAAAGAUGUCAAUAAUAAGUCAAAUAUCUCAAAUAAGGCAAAACUCAUUUCAUUAUUUACUAUUUGAUAAGUGUCCGUCAAGUACUUUAUGGAAUUAUUAAGUGAUCAAAUGUCAUGGUGUUAGUCGAAAUGUGAAUUUAUACAUGUAUAUAAUAAUGAUACAUGUAUUUAUUAAUUGCAACUCAUUUUAGAGGUCUGGUCCGGUCUAAAAUGAAAUGUUCAUGUUUUUAUGAGAUAUAGAAAUAAAUGUUUGUCUUUUGUUAUUGUAGACGAAAAGCGCAUCUGGCGCGAAUAUAAAAUUCCAAUUCCGGUAUCUACGAUGAGUUAAUUUACAACCACUGGGUAGAUGCCACUGUUUUUGGCGUUUUUAUUCCCCGAGGGUAAAAUCAGCCCAGUAGUCAGCACGUUUGUGUUGACAUGAAUAUAAAUUAACUGUUAAAAAAACUUAGAUUAUUUAAAUACUAAGGCUGUUCUUACUCAUGCAUAGAUUACCUAAGCUGUUCCCAAUUCUCUUCAACUUCGUACUUUAUUUGGCAUUUUUUAUAUUUUUUUAUUCGAACGUCACUGGUGAGUCUUUUGUAGACGAAAUGCGCGUCUUGUGCAAAUACAAAAUUUUAAUCCUGAUUUCUAUGAUGAUUUAUUUAUAUGACCAUUAAAUAAUUAAAGUUUGGUAUAUACUUUUUCAUCAGUUUUCAAUUUCGAUCUUCAACAUCAGGCAUUCUGUACAAUUGUAUAGACCAUGAUAUUGAAAGGUGUUGAUACUCCUAUUGACUCUGAUUCAUUUAGUGGAAACAACAAGUAAGACUAAAUUUCACUGCAGAAGAUCAUCGUAAAUAACGCAUAUUCAGUGAUGUUCGAUGCCAAACACAAAAUCUUUAAGAGCAGAUAUAGGUAGCAAUAAACAGUAAGGAAAAAAUAUUAAAAUUUGCCCUUAUAAAUUUUACCAUCCCCCUUUCAUUGCUUUCUUGCAAUAUCAAGCUUACUGUUUGUGUCAUAUAUGGGCAUAUGUAUGUAAUCAGAAUCUUCCAUAGAUUUUAUAUCCAGUAUAUAAAAUGGUAAAAUAUAGUUUCUUUCGGGUGUAUCCAUGCCAACAAUCUGCAUUUAUUUGUUAUAAAAUAUUGCAAAAAGGGGGGGAAAGAUGUCACAU